GAUGAAGAACGUAGCGAAAUGCGAUAAGUAAUGUGAAUUGCAGAAUUCAGUGAAUCAUCGAAUCUUUGAACGCACAUUGCGCCCGCCAGUAUUCUGGCGGGCAUGCCUGUUCGAGCGUCAUUUCAACCAUCAAGCCCCCGGGCUUGUGUUGGGGACCUGCGGCUGCCCGCAGGCCCUGAAAACCAGUGGCGGGCUCGCUGUCACACCGAGCGUAGUAGCAUAUCAUCUCGCUCUGGGCGUGCUGCGGGUUCCGGCCGUUAAAGCCUUUUUUUUUUUACCCAAGGUUGACCUCGGAUCAGGUAGGAAGACCCGCUGAACUUAAGCAUAUCAAUAAGCGGAGGA
RNAcentral lists this unclassified non-coding RNA (342 nucleotides) under soil metagenome. Its description in RNAcentral is "partial contains 5.8S ribosomal RNA, internal transcribed spacer 2, and large subunit ribosomal RNA". The stretch from base 1 to 120 matches the Rfam family "5.8S ribosomal RNA", at positions 35 to 154 of the family's 154-position model. The record is from RNAcentral.